GGUAGCUCAGUGAUAGGACAUCUGCUUUGCUUGCAGAGGGUCCCAGGUUCCAUCCCUGGCAUCUCCA
Podarcis lilfordi (Lilford's wall lizard) is the source of this 67-nucleotide non-coding RNA. The record is from the annotation of a GenBank genome assembly. NCBI's taxonomy places the organism in Eukaryota, Metazoa, Chordata, Lepidosauria, Squamata, Lacertidae.